GGGAUAACAGUUGGAAACGACUGCUAAUACCGCAUAAGCGCACAGGAUCGCAUGAUCCGGUGUGAAAAACUCCGGUGGUAUGGGAUGGACCCGCGUCUGAUUAGCCAGUUGGCAGGGUAACGGCCUACCAAAGCGACGAUCAGUAGCCGACCUGAGAGGGUGACCGGCCACAUUGGGACUGAGACACGGCCCAAACUCCUACGGGAGGCAGCAGUGGGGAAUAUUGCACAAUGGGGGAAACCCUGAUGCAGCGACGCCGCGUGAGCGAAGAAGUAUUUCGGUAUGUAAAGCUCUAUCAGCAGGGAAGAAGAAUGACGGUACCUGACUAAGAAGCACCGGCUAAAUACGUGCCAGCAGCCGCGGUAAUACGUAUGGUGCAAGCGUUAUCCGGAUUUACUGGGUGUAAAGGGAGCGCAGGCGGUGCGGCAAGUCUGAUGUGAAAGCCCGGGGCUCAACCCCGGUACUGCAUUGGAAACUGUCGUACUAGAGUGUCGGAGGGGUAAGUGGAAUUCCUAGUGUAGCGGUGAAAUGCGUAGAUAUUAGGAGGAACACCAGUGGCGAAGGCGGCUUACUGGACGAUAACUGACGCUGAGGCUCGAAAGCGUGGGGAGCAAACAGGAUUAGAUACCCUGGUAGUCCACGCCGUAA
This 648-nucleotide ribosomal RNA is filed under the name uncultured bacterium. RNAcentral's name for it is "bacterial SSU rRNA". It matches the Rfam family "Bacterial small subunit ribosomal RNA", at positions 140 to 805 of the family's 1533-position model. The record is from RNAcentral.